AUGCUCAGAAAUGCGUCCAACCAUGUGC
This 28-nucleotide small RNA is filed under the name Bombyx mori (domestic silkworm). Its description in RNAcentral is "ovarian small RNA-12607". The record is from RNAcentral. Lineage: Eukaryota; Metazoa; Arthropoda; Insecta; Lepidoptera; Bombycidae.